This 211-nucleotide long non-coding RNA is filed under the name Ananas comosus (pineapple). Its description in RNAcentral is "long non-coding RNA (ACOM_LNC044682)". Lineage: Eukaryota; Viridiplantae; Streptophyta; Magnoliopsida; Poales; Bromeliaceae. The record is from RNAcentral.
AUAAUGUAGAAGACUUUAUUUAUGUUAAAAUGGAAAAGGACCAUAUUUUGGAAGAACUUGUGAUGUAUAAAAGAAAUGAUGCAAAGUUGUAUUAAAGUUGAAUGCUUCCGUUUUGUAUGAUGUUAAGUAGAUGCAAAGUUGUAUUAAAGUACGUGAUUUAAAUUUAAUCAAAUACUUGUAUGAUGUUAAGUAGAUUCUUUCACUAUUGGCU